UACGGGAGGCAGCAGUGGGGAAUCUUAGACAAUGGGCGCAAGCCUGAUCUAGCACAUGACCGCGUGAUUGAAGAAUGACGCCUUAGGGUCGUAAAGGCUCUUUCUGCCAGGGAUGAUACUGACAGUAGCUGCGUACAGCACCACCCAGAGCUGAUCUACAAACGUGCACANGCAGUUGACGGUAAUCCGGAGGGGGUUAGCGUUGUAAUCGGAAUUACUGGGCGUGAAGCGCACGUGGGCGGAUUAGUAAGUGUGGGGUGAAAUCCCCUGGCUCAACCCAUGGGACUGCCUCAUAAACUCCUAAUCUAGAUUUCGAGAGAGGUGAGUGGAAUUCCGAGUGUAUAGGUGAAAUUCGUAGAUAUUCGGAGGAACACCAGUGGCGAAGGCGGCUCACUGGCUCGAUACUGACGCUGUUACGGGAGGCUGCAGGAAACAUAUUUGUGUAGGGGAGCAAACGGGUUUUGAGGCAAUACCCUGGUAGUCCACACCGAUUAAAACGAUGAAUGCCAGUCGUCGGAUAGUAUACUAUUCGGUGACACACCUAACGGAUUAAGCAUUCCGCCUGGGGAGUACGGUCGCAAGAUUAAAACUUAAAUGAAUUGACGG
Molecule: ribosomal RNA, 606 nt
Filed under: uncultured bacterium
Lineage: Bacteria
Description: bacterial SSU rRNA
Rfam family: Bacterial small subunit ribosomal RNA
Source: RNAcentral